GAAAAAGCCGUUAACGAGUAUUUGUAUGACCAGGGUGCUAGGACAGCCUCUGCGGAGCUGGGAAUUUUUUUGCCACGUUACUGGACACUCAUGCGCAAUGCCUGUAGGCUCAUGCGUCCUUUUGAGGAGGUGACAUACCUAGACAGUCGCACCGAAGGCACCAUCAGCGACAUCAUACCAUUUGUUUUCUUCCUGGUGCGUGCCCUGCGAAGAGUGCUGGAUCAGGCCAUAGAUGAGCGUGAAGAGGAAGAGUUGUGGUCACCAUCACCACCAGAAACAG
Non-coding RNA from Pelobates cultripes (western spadefoot toad), 280 nucleotides. NCBI's taxonomy places the organism in Eukaryota, Metazoa, Chordata, Amphibia, Anura, Pelobatidae. The record is from the annotation of a GenBank genome assembly.